Molecule: long non-coding RNA, 277 nt
Filed under: Brachypodium distachyon (stiff brome)
Lineage: Eukaryota; Viridiplantae; Streptophyta; Magnoliopsida; Poales; Poaceae
Description: long non-coding RNA (BDIS_LNC003599)
Source: RNAcentral
UGAUGUAUGGUUGGGUGGGGACGGGCAGACCCCGCUCUGUUCAUCAGUAACGGUCACGGCCGCGACCGACACUGAUGUUAUUCAUCAGUAACGGUCGCGCCGGACCCGUUACUAAUGUGCCGUUACAUAUAGACCAUUUUGUAGUAGUGCUACCUCGACACUCCAGUAGUGCGACUCCAAAAAGUCUUCAUGUUUAGGGAAACAGUAAGAGAAUAUCAUACUGAAAUCAAAUUAAAGCUUCACUAAAGGAUGUACGUACAGCAAUGUGGUCCUGUUG